GCAAACUUGGUCAUUUAGAGGAAGUAAAAGUCGUAACAAGGUUUCCGUAGGUGAACCUGCGGAAGGAUCAUUAACAAAUUCAGUGGACUCGGUUGACCAGCUCAACCAGUUUACUAUCCAUCCGGGGGAGAGAGCAUCACUGCUCCCCUCCCUCGGCUCAUCAUCAUAUUACUACUCAUUGUCUAACAAUCAAUCCUAAUAAUAUUCACUUUUAACAAUGGAUCUCUUGGCUCUUGCAUCGAUGAAGAACGCAGC
This 255-nucleotide unclassified non-coding RNA is filed under the name uncultured fungus. RNAcentral's name for it is "partial contains small subunit ribosomal RNA, internal transcribed spacer 1, and 5.8S ribosomal RNA". The stretch from base 1 to 73 matches the Rfam family "Eukaryotic small subunit ribosomal RNA", at positions 1759 to 1831 of the family's 1831-position model. The record is from RNAcentral. Lineage: Eukaryota; Fungi.